RNAcentral lists this unclassified non-coding RNA (20 nucleotides) under Chlamydomonas reinhardtii. RNAcentral describes it as "small RNA Cre_1923". Lineage: Eukaryota; Viridiplantae; Chlorophyta; Chlorophyceae; Chlamydomonadales; Chlamydomonadaceae. The record is from RNAcentral.
GGGGCCAUGUGGACAACUGG